This 465-nucleotide ribosomal RNA is filed under the name uncultured bacterium. RNAcentral's name for it is "partial 16S ribosomal RNA". It matches the Rfam family "Bacterial small subunit ribosomal RNA", at positions 28 to 507 of the family's 1533-position model. The record is from RNAcentral.
GACGAACGCUGGCGGCGUGCUUAACACAUGCAAGUCGAACGGAAAGGCCCCUUUUGGGGUCCUCGAGUGGCGCACGGGUGAGUAACACGUGAGUAACCUGCCCUUGACUUCGGGAUAACUUCAGGAAACUGGGGCUAAUCCCUGCUAGGAAUCCUUGCUGCAUGGUGGGGGUUGGAAAGCUUCGGGGGCUUUGGAUGGACUCGCGGCUUAUCAGCUUGGUGGUGGGGUAGUGGCUUACCAAGGCUUUGUCGGGGAGCAGGCCUGAGAGGGCGAGCGGCCACAUUGGGACUGAGAUACGGACCAGACGCCGACGGGAGGCAGCAGUGGGGAAUAUUGCACAAGGGGCGGAAGCCUGAUGCAGCAACGCCGCGGGCGGGAUGACGGCCUUCGGGUUGGAAACCGCAUUCAGCAGGGGCGAAGCUUGUGGUGACGGUACCUGCAGAAGAAGCACCGGCUAACUACGUG